This 494-nucleotide ribosomal RNA is filed under the name uncultured Rothia sp. Its description in RNAcentral is "partial 16S ribosomal RNA". Lineage: Bacteria; Bacillati; Actinomycetota; Actinomycetes; Micrococcales; Micrococcaceae. The record is from RNAcentral.
CACGUGGUUAGCCGGCGCUUUCUCUGCACCUACCGUCACUUUCGCUUCUUCGAUGCUAACAGAGGUUUACAACCCGAAGGCCGUCAUCCCUCACGCGGCGUCGCUGCAUCAGGCUUGCGCCCAUUGUGCAAUAUUCCCCACUGCUGCCUCCCGUAGGAGUCUGGGCCGUGUCUCAGUCCCAGUGUGGCCGGUCACCCUCUCAGGCCGGCUACCCGUCGUCGCCUUGGUAAGCCAUUACCUCACCAACAAGCUGAUAGGCCGUGAGCCCAUCUAAAACCACUCCAUAACGCUUUCCACCAACACCCCAUGCAGAGAUUGGUCGUAUCCGGUAUUAGACCCAGUUUCCCAGGCUUAUCCCAGAGUCAAAGGUAGGUCACUCACGUAUUACUCACCCGUUCGCCACUAAUCCACGGUGCAAGCACCGCUUCAUCGUUCGACUUGCAUGUGUUAAGCACGCCGCCAGCGUUCGUCCUGUAGCCACGGAUCGAAACUCU